UGGGGAAUCUUGCACAAUGGGGGCAACCCUGAUGCAGCGACGCCGCGUGAGCGAUGAAGCCCUUCGGGGCGUAAAGCCCUUUCGACCGGAACGAUAAUGACGGUACCGGGAGAAGAAGCUGCGGCUAACUACGUGCCAGCAGCCGCGGUAAUACGUAGGCAGCAAGCGUUGUUCGGAGUUACUGGGCGUAAAGAGUGCGUAGGCGGUUUUCUAAGUUCGGUGUGAAAUCUCCCGGCUUAACUGGGAGGGUGCGCCGAAGACUGGGAAGCUGGAGUGUGGGAAAGGCAGGCGGAAUUCCUGGUGUAGCUGUGAAAUGCGUAGAUAUCAGGAGGAACACCGGCGGUGUAGACGGCUUGCUAGACCAUAACUGACGCUGAGGCACGAAAGCGUGGGUAGCAAACA
Molecule: ribosomal RNA, 402 nt
Filed under: uncultured bacterium
Lineage: Bacteria
Description: bacterial SSU rRNA
Rfam family: Bacterial small subunit ribosomal RNA
Source: RNAcentral